RNAcentral lists this ribosomal RNA (1252 nucleotides) under uncultured bacterium. RNAcentral's name for it is "bacterial SSU rRNA". It matches the Rfam family "Bacterial small subunit ribosomal RNA", at positions 237 to 1503 of the family's 1533-position model. The record is from RNAcentral.
AGUGGGAGAGGAUUCCCCAUAAACUGUGUUUCUUGAGAAAGGGAUGUUUUCAAGCCCCAGAACUGGGAAACUUGAAGACCCCCAGUUCCCAGAAUUUCUUUACGGGGAGGGCAAGCCAGUAAAGGAAUUUUUCCCCCAAAUGGGCCGAAAAGCCUUGAUGGGAGCAAACCCCCGCGUGCCAGGACGAAAGGCCUUUCGGGUUCGUAAAACUGCUUUUUAUUAGCGGAAGAAAUAUGGCCGGUAACUUAAUGAAUAAAGGGUUCGGCUAAAUUACGGUCCCAGCAGGCCGCGGGUCAUACGGUAGGACCCCAAGCGUUAUCCCGGAGUGACUGGGCGUAAAGAGUUGCGUAGGCGGCUUAGUAAGUGGAUAGUGAAACCUGGUGGCUCAACCCAUUCAGACUAUUAUCCAAACUGCUGAGCUUGAGAAUAGUAGAGGUACCUGGAAUUUCUCGUGUAGGAGUGAAAUCCGUAGAUAUGAGAAGGAACACCAAUGGCGUAGGCAGGGUACUGGGCUAUUUCUGACGCUAAGGCACGAAAGCGUGGGGAGCGAACCGGAUUAGAUACCCGGGUAGUCCACGCCGUAAACGAUGGAUGCUAGCUGUGGGGGGUAUCGACCCCUUCCGUAGCAAAGCUAACGCGUUAAGCAUCCCGCCUGUGGAGUACGGCCGCAAGGCUAAAACAUAAAGGAAUUGACGGGGACCCGCACAAGUAGUGGAGGAUGUUCUUUAAUUCGAUGCUAAGCGAAGAACCUUACCAGGGCUUGACAUCCUUGGGAGCUCUGCGAAAGCAGAGUGUGCCUUUUGGAACCAAGUGACAGGUGCUGCAUGGCCGUCGUCAGCUCGUGUCGUGAGAUGUUUGGUUAAGUCCAUCAACGAGCGCAACCCUUAUGAAUAGUUGGAUUUUUCUAUUCAGACUGCCCCGGUAGCGGGGAGGAAGGGGGGGAUGAUGUCAGGUCAGUAUUGCCCUUACGUCCUGGGCUAGAAACGUCCUACAAUGGCCGGUACAACGGGAAGCCAACCCGCGAGGGGGAGCAAAUCCCAUCAAAGCCGGUCCCAGUUCGGAUUGCAGGCUGAAACUCGCCUGCAUGAAGCCGGAAUUACUAGUAAUCGCAAGUCAGCACAUUGCGGUGAAUACGUUCCCGGGCCUUGUACACACCGCCCGUCAAACCAUGAAAGUGACCAACACCCGAAGUCCGAUUCGUCGGCCUAAGGUGGGGGGCAUGAUUGGGGUUAAGUCGUAACAAGGUAGCCGU